RNAcentral lists this long non-coding RNA (495 nucleotides) under Mus caroli (Ryukyu mouse). RNAcentral describes it as "predicted gene 15561 (MGP_CAROLIEiJ_G0002781.1)". The record is from RNAcentral. Lineage: Eukaryota; Metazoa; Chordata; Mammalia; Rodentia; Muridae.
ACAGGCUGUGUGCCAUAACCUAUGACGGAAAAGCGUCAGCAGAGUGAGACACUGCGAGGGAAGAGCCUGCACAUACAUAACGUGAGUCCACAGCACACACGCUGAAAGGCAUCUAUCUAUCUAAUGGUUCUCUCCAGCCCACUAUGGCAUGUGCCAGUUAGAGAGGAUUCUCAGUAACCCUGCCUCAGAACCCAGCCUUGGUCAGCCCUUUAUCUGAUACAUCUCAUCCCUGAAAUGAGUAUAAAAGGGUCGACCCCUCAGGUGCAACAGGCACCUGUCCCAACUCUUUGGGGGCCUCUAUGUCACUUCCUGUCAUGUUUGCCUUUUCUUUCUUGCUAUGGGUCCCAUCAGCUGACAAAUACACAUGAAAUCCCCCUCAUAUUUCUACCUUAUACCCAUCACUCUGGGUACAGAAUACCAUAAUGGGUUCCUCGUUUUUUUCCAUCUAUCAUCUUCCCCAACUUCAGACAGCUUUUAAAUAAUACUUUUUAAAUU